This 440-nucleotide ribosomal RNA is filed under the name uncultured bacterium. Its description in RNAcentral is "partial 16S ribosomal RNA". It matches the Rfam family "Bacterial small subunit ribosomal RNA", at positions 338 to 795 of the family's 1533-position model. The record is from RNAcentral.
CCUACGGGAGGCAGCAGUGGGGAAUAUUGCACAAUGGGGGAAACCCUGAUGCAGCGACGCCGCGUGAGUGAAGACGUAAUUCGUUAUGUAAAGCUCUAUCAGCAGGGACGAAAAUGACGGUACCUGCGUACGAAGCCCCGGCUAACUACGUGCCCGCAGCCGCGGUAAUACGUAGGGGGCACGAGUUAUCCGGAUUUACGGGGUGUAAAGGGAGCGUAGACGGUAGUGGAAGGCUGGCGGGAAAUGCGGGGGCUCAACCCCCAGACUGCCCUGGAACCUGUACGGCUUGAGUGCAGGAGAGGUAAGUGGAAUGCGUAGUGUAGCGGUGAAAUGCGUAGAUAUUAGGAGGAACACCAGUGGCGAAGGCGGCUUACUGGAGUGCAACUGACGUUGAGGCUCGAAAGCGUGGGGAGCAAACAGGAUUAGAUACCCUAGUAGUC